RNAcentral lists this transfer RNA (63 nucleotides) under Podarcis lilfordi (Lilford's wall lizard). RNAcentral describes it as "tRNA.His". The record is from RNAcentral. Lineage: Eukaryota; Metazoa; Chordata; Lepidosauria; Squamata; Lacertidae.
GGUCAUAGCUCAGUGGGAGAGCUUUAAUGCAGAAGUUCCCAGGUUCAAUCCCUGGCAUCUCCA